GCCCAGGUGGCGGAAUUGGUAGACGCGCUAGUUUGAGGGGCUAGUCGGGUAAAACCGGUGCAGGUUCGAUUCCUGUCCUGGGCACCA
The sequence is a transfer RNA, 87 nucleotides long. It matches the Rfam family "tRNA". From Rfam's summary of the family: Transfer RNA (tRNA) molecules are approximately 80 nucleotides in length. Their secondary structure includes four short double-helical elements and three loops (D, anti-codon, and T loops). Further hydrogen bonds mediate the characteristic L-shaped molecular structure. tRNAs have two regions of fundamental functional importance: the anti-codon, which is responsible for specific mRNA codon recognition, and the 3' end, to which the tRNAs corresponding amino acid is attached (by aminoacyl-tRNA synthetases). tRNAs cope with the degeneracy of the genetic code in two manners: having more than one tRNA (with a specific anti-codon) for a particular amino acid; and 'wobble' base-pairing, i.e. permitting non-standard base-pairing at the 3rd anti-codon position.